This 310-nucleotide ribosomal RNA is filed under the name uncultured bacterium. Its description in RNAcentral is "bacterial SSU rRNA". It matches the Rfam family "Bacterial small subunit ribosomal RNA", at positions 28 to 334 of the family's 1533-position model. The record is from RNAcentral.
GAUGAACGCUAGCGACAGGCUUAACACAUGCAAGUCGAGGGGCAGCGGGGGUAGCAAUACCCGCCGGCGACCGGCGCACGGGUGAGUAACGCGUAUGCAACUUACCUAUCAGAGGGGGAUAACCCGGCGAAAGUCGGACUAAUACCGCAUGAAGCAGGGGCCCCGCAUGGGGGUAUUUGCUAAAGAUUCAUCGCUGAUAGAUAGGCAUGCGUUCCAUUAGGCAGUUGGCGGGGUAACGGCCCACCAAACCGACGAUGGAUAGGGGUUCUGAGAGGAAGGUCCCCCACAUUGGUACUGAGACACGGCCCAG